This 365-nucleotide long non-coding RNA is filed under the name Amphimedon queenslandica. Its description in RNAcentral is "uncharacterized LOC109583231". Lineage: Eukaryota; Metazoa; Porifera; Demospongiae; Haplosclerida; Niphatidae. The record is from RNAcentral.
UGGUUGCCAUCAAUGCCAUGGUUGGCUUCCCUCAGUUCCCUGUUGAUCAAGAUGGCAUCUCAGACUGAGUCUUUACCCGAUGCUCUCCUGGAAGCUCUGGCAGAAAAGGGUCGAGUAGAUUCCUAUGAAUAUGCUACUAGUGUUGGUAGAAAUCACCAAGACGUGGUUGGAGCCGUAAAGAGUUUGGAGUCCUUUGGAGACGUCAGUUAUAAAGACAGAGCAGAAACAGACUGAAUCGUGGGAACUCACUGAAGAAGGUAAAGAGAUAGCUGAGAAUGGUUCGCAUGAGGUUAGACUCUUUGAAGCAAUCGAUCAAUCAAAUGGAACACCACAAAAUGAACUAAUGCCUAGCAAGUGUGAGCUAA